RNAcentral lists this long non-coding RNA (309 nucleotides) under Pogona vitticeps (central bearded dragon). RNAcentral describes it as "lncRNA (ENSPVIG00000022924.1)". The record is from RNAcentral. Lineage: Eukaryota; Metazoa; Chordata; Lepidosauria; Squamata; Agamidae.
UCGUCCCCUUGGCCCCAGAGCCCUCAGAUAAGGUCACUAAACCACCGUCCACCACCACUGGAAGGAUAGGAAUAGGAUCCUCUGGAUUCUGCUAUCUACACCACUCAUUUCCCUUCUCAGGAUAAUAUUAUCUACAGCAACAUAGUUGCAGGGUCUUUUUGAAAGGGGUCUAUUCCUGGCUGAAUUAUCUGGCCCUCUCCAGCCCACAGAACACAAGAAAAAGAGACUUGAGAAGAUGUUGUGAAGAACUUUUGCAGUAACACCACUGGACCAACAAGAAAAGAUACACCGAGGUUUAGGAGGAGAAUG